This 520-nucleotide ribosomal RNA is filed under the name uncultured Entrophospora. RNAcentral describes it as "SSU rRNA". It matches the Rfam family "Eukaryotic small subunit ribosomal RNA", at positions 569 to 1080 of the family's 1831-position model. Lineage: Eukaryota; Fungi; Glomeromycota; Glomeromycetes; Entrophosporales; Entrophosporaceae. The record is from RNAcentral.
AGCAGCCGCGGUAAUUCCAGCUCCAAUAGCGUAUAUUAAAGUUGUUGCAGUUAAAAAGCCCGUAGUUGAAUUUCGGGAUUGGCGCAUCGGUCGUGCCUUACGGGGUAUGAACUGGUGCAGUCAAUUUCUCACCUUCUGGAGAACCGCGAUGUCCUUAAUUGGGUGCCGCGGGGAACCAGGACCUUUACUUUGAAAAAACUUAGAGUGUUUAAAGCAGGCAUUUUUGCUUGAAUACAUUAGCAUGGAAUAAUAAAAUAGGACGGCAUGGUUCUAUUUUGUUGGUUUCUAGGACCACCGUAAUGAUUAAUAGGGAUAGUUGGGGGGCAUUAGUAUUCAAUUGUCAGAGGUGAAAUUCUUGGAUUUAUUGAAGACUAACUACUGCGAAAGCAUUUGCCAAGGAUGUUUUCAUUAAUCAAGAACGAAAGUUAGGGGAUCGAAGACGAUCAGAUACCGUCGUAGUCUUAACCAUAAACUAUGCCGACUAGGAAUCAGACGAUGUUAAUUUUUUCAAUGACUCGUU